UACGAGUGGUGCAAGCGUUAUCCGGAAUCACUGGGCGUAAAGGGUGUGUAGGUGGUAUGGUUAGUCUUUCGUUAAAGCUCCCGGCUUAACCGGGAAAAAGCGAAAGAAACGGCCACACUUAGAGGGUGCGAGAGGUUUGCGGAACUCAUGGUGUAGGGGUGAAAUCCGUUGAUAUCAUGGGGAACACCAAAAGCGAAGGCAGCAAACUGGCGCACGCCUGACACUGAAACACGAAAGCGUGGGUAGCGAA
This 250-nucleotide ribosomal RNA is filed under the name uncultured bacterium. RNAcentral's name for it is "partial 16S ribosomal RNA". It matches the Rfam family "Bacterial small subunit ribosomal RNA", at positions 524 to 772 of the family's 1533-position model. The record is from RNAcentral.